Zingiber officinale is the source of this 124-nucleotide long non-coding RNA. RefSeq lists it as uncharacterized. The transcript is spliced from 3 exons. Lineage: Eukaryota; Viridiplantae; Streptophyta; Magnoliopsida; Zingiberales; Zingiberaceae. The record is from RefSeq and is a predicted model, not a curated record.
UUUUCCCCUUGCUGGUGAGUGAGGUUUGGUGUCAACGGGAUUAAGCUGUUGUUGGAGCUGAGGAAUCUGAUCAUUAUUCGUACACUUAGGACAUUGAUUCGAGACGGUGUCUCGACGAGGGAUC